Bos taurus (domestic cattle) is the source of this 615-nucleotide long non-coding RNA. The record is from Ensembl. NCBI's taxonomy places the organism in Eukaryota, Metazoa, Chordata, Mammalia, Artiodactyla, Bovidae.
UCCGGACAGAGCAAAAAAAACAAGGCAUCAGUAUUGUUGAGUAUUAGCUUGUACCUGGUUCGGAGGCAAAGUAACUUGCAAGAUAUCCAUGCUUCCCCAGAAAGAGUAAAAUACGGGGUCAAAGGUGUUAACGCCUCAUCCUGCCAUCAUGAACAAAGUACCAUGCCCAGAUGGUCUUACAGAAUGAAAGUUCCAUGAGGUCUCCAUGAGUUCAAGUACCACAACUGAAAGAUCCCGCGUGCUGCAACGAGACCCGGUGCAGCCAAAUAAGUAAAUAAAUGUUUUAAAAAAUAAAUAAAUAAAAUUGAGCUAUUAAAAAAAAAGAUGGAGGCAGAUGGAUCACAGUCAGAGAAGGGGAUGUGAGGAUAGAAGUGGAGAAGAGAGAGAGAGAGAAGAGAGAAUAUGCUAGCUUUUGAAGAGGAGGAGGGGGCUGCGAACCAAAGAAAGCAGGUGGCAUCUAGAAACUGGAAGAAGAAAGGAGGGGAUUCAGCCCCAGAGCUUCCAGAAUGAAAAGCUUUCUCUGUGAACACCUCGAUUUUACUGAUGAGAGCCUUGUCAUAUUUCUGACUUACAGAACUACAAGAUAAUAUAUUUUGUGUUGCUCUAAGGGCUUGU